CGGGAGGCAGCAGUGGGGAAUAUUGCACAAUGGAGGAAACUCUGAUGCAGCAACGCCGCGUGGAGGAUGACACAUUUCGGUGCGUAAACUCCUUUUAUAUGAGAAGAUAAUGACGGUAUCAUAUGAAUAAGCACCGGCUAACUC
This 144-nucleotide ribosomal RNA is filed under the name uncultured bacterium. RNAcentral's name for it is "partial 16S ribosomal RNA". It matches the Rfam family "Bacterial small subunit ribosomal RNA", at positions 342 to 503 of the family's 1533-position model. The record is from RNAcentral.